GUCAACAUGGCAUAGUGGUUUUAGUGUUGGACUAUGACUCUGGGAAUCAGGGUUCAAUUCCCUGCUCAUC
This is a non-coding RNA of Phrynosoma platyrhinos (Desert horned lizard), 70 nucleotides long. NCBI's taxonomy places the organism in Eukaryota, Metazoa, Chordata, Lepidosauria, Squamata, Phrynosomatidae. The record is from the annotation of a GenBank genome assembly.